RNAcentral lists this transfer RNA (87 nucleotides) under Branchiostoma floridae (Florida lancelet). It matches the Rfam family "tRNA". Rfam says of the family: Transfer RNA (tRNA) molecules are approximately 80 nucleotides in length. Their secondary structure includes four short double-helical elements and three loops (D, anti-codon, and T loops). The record is from Rfam by way of RNAcentral. Lineage: Eukaryota; Metazoa; Chordata; Leptocardii; Amphioxiformes; Branchiostomatidae.
CCGACGAUAGCUCAGUUGGUAGAGCGGAGGACUGUAGUGGUUAAUGCUGUCAUCCUUAGGUCGGUGGUUCAAAUCCGCCUCGUCGGA